AACGAACGCUGGCGGCAUGCUUAACACAUGCAAGUCGAGCGCCCCGCCAGGGGAGCGGCAGCCCGGUGAGUAACGCGUGGGGACGUACCAUUUGGUUCGGAACAACUCCGGGAAACUGGAGCUAAUACCGGAUAAGCCCGAACGGGGAAAGAGUUAUCGCGCAAAGAGCGGCUCGCGUCUGAUUCGCGAGUUGGUGAGGUAACGUCUCACCAAGGCGACGAUCAGUAGCUGGUCUGAGAGGAUGAGCACCCACACGGGCACUGGGACACGGUACAGACUCCUACGGGAGGGAGCAGUGGGGAAUAUUGCACAACGGGCGCAAGCCUGAUCCAGCCCUGCCGCGUGAGUGAUGAAGGCCUUAGGGUUGUAAAGCGCUUUUGUCCGGGAAGAUAAUGACUGUACCGGAAGAAUAAGCCCCGGCUAACUUCGUG
Molecule: ribosomal RNA, 431 nt
Filed under: uncultured bacterium
Lineage: Bacteria
Description: partial 16S ribosomal RNA
Rfam family: Bacterial small subunit ribosomal RNA
Source: RNAcentral